GACGAACGCUGGCGGCGUGCUUAACACAUGCAAGUCGAACGGAAAGGCCCUGCUUUUGUGGGGUGCUCGAGUGGCGAACGGGUGAGUAACACGUGAGUAACCUGCCCUUGACUUUGGGAUAACUUCAGGAAACUGGGGCUAAUGCCGGAUAGGAGCUCCUGCUGCAUGGUGGGGGUUGGAAAGUUUCGGCGGUUGGGAUGGACUCGCGGCUUAUCAGCUUGUUGGUGGGGUAGUGGCUUACCAAGGCUUUGACGGGUAGCCGGCCUGAGAGGGUGACCGGCCACAUUGGGACUGAGAUACGGCCCAGACUCCUACGGGAGGCAGCAGUGGGGAAUAUUGCACAAUGGGCGGAAGCCUGAUGCAGCAACGCCGCGUGCGGGAUGACGGCCUUCGGGUUGUAAACCGCUUUCGCCUGUGACGAAGCGUGAGUGACGGUAAUGGGUAAAGAAGCACCGGCUAACUACGUG
Molecule: ribosomal RNA, 467 nt
Filed under: uncultured bacterium
Lineage: Bacteria
Description: partial 16S ribosomal RNA
Rfam family: Bacterial small subunit ribosomal RNA
Source: RNAcentral